AGAGUUUGAUCAUGGCUCAGGAUGAACGCUGGCGGCGUGCCUAAUACAUGCAAGUCGAACGCAAUACUUCGGUAUUGAGUGGCGAACGGGUGAGUAAUACAUAAGCAACCUGGCCAUGACAGGGGGAUAACUGACGGAAACGACAGCUAAAACCGCAUAGGUAUAAACGAAGCAUUUUGUUUAUAUUAAAAAUGCUAAGGCAUUGGUGAUGGAUGGGCUUAUGGAGCAUUAGCUAGUUGGUGAGGUAGAGGCUCACCAAGGCGACGAUGCAUAGCCGGCCUGAGAGGGUGAACGGCCACACUGGGACUGAGACACGGCCCAG
Molecule: ribosomal RNA, 322 nt
Filed under: uncultured bacterium
Lineage: Bacteria
Description: bacterial SSU rRNA
Rfam family: Bacterial small subunit ribosomal RNA
Source: RNAcentral